GAUGGAACGUAGCGAAAUGCGAUACGUAAUGUGAAUUGCAGAAUUCAGUGAAUCAUCGAGUCUUUGAACGCACAUUGCGCCCCCUGGUAUUCCGGGGGGCAUGCCUGUCCGAGCGUCAUUGCUGCCCUCAAGCACGGCUUGUGUGUUGGGCCUCCGCCCCCCGGCUCCCGGGGGGCGGGCCCGAAAGGCAGCGGCGGCACCGCGUCCGGUCCUCGAGCGUAUGGGGCUUCGUCACCCGCUCCGUAGGCCCGGCCGGCGCCCGCCGGCGACCCCCCUCAAUCUUUCCAGGUUGACCUCGGAUCAGGUAGGGAUACCCGCUGAACUUAAGCAUAUCAAUAAGCGGAGGA
Molecule: unclassified non-coding RNA, 347 nt
Filed under: soil metagenome
Description: partial contains 5.8S ribosomal RNA, internal transcribed spacer 2, and large subunit ribosomal RNA
Rfam family: 5.8S ribosomal RNA (bases 4-118)
Source: RNAcentral